GAUGAACGCUGGCGGCGUGCCUAAUACAUGCAAGUCGAGCGCGUUUCGAAGGUGCUUGCACCUUCAAUGAAACGAGCGGCGGACGGGUGAGUAACACGUAGGUAACCUACCUUUAUGACUGGGAUAACCACGGGAAACCGGGGCUAAUACCGGAUAAGAUUUAGCUUCGCAUGAAGCAGAAGUAAAAGGCAGUUUCGGCUGUCACAUAAAGAUGGACCUGCGGCGCAUUAGCUAGUUGGAGAGGUAAGAGCUCCCCAAGGCGACGAUGCGUAGCCGACCUGAGAGGGUGAUCGGCCACACUGGGACUGAGACACGGCCCAGACUCCUACGGGAGGCAGCAGUAGGGAAUCUUCCGCAAUGGACGAAAGUCUGACGGAGCAACGCCGCGUGAGUGAAGAAGGUUUUCGGAUCGUAAAGCUCUGUUGUUAAGGAAGAACACCAUGGAUAGGAAAUGAUCGAUGG
Molecule: ribosomal RNA, 462 nt
Filed under: uncultured bacterium
Lineage: Bacteria
Description: bacterial SSU rRNA
Rfam family: Bacterial small subunit ribosomal RNA
Source: RNAcentral